RNAcentral lists this transfer RNA (73 nucleotides) under bacterium. RNAcentral describes it as "tRNA-Lys". It matches the Rfam family "tRNA". From Rfam's summary of the family: Transfer RNA (tRNA) molecules are approximately 80 nucleotides in length. Their secondary structure includes four short double-helical elements and three loops (D, anti-codon, and T loops). Further hydrogen bonds mediate the characteristic L-shaped molecular structure. tRNAs have two regions of fundamental functional importance: the anti-codon, which is responsible for specific mRNA codon recognition, and the 3' end, to which the tRNAs corresponding amino acid is attached (by aminoacyl-tRNA synthetases). tRNAs cope with the degeneracy of the genetic code in two manners: having more than one tRNA (with a specific anti-codon) for a particular amino acid; and 'wobble' base-pairing, i.e. permitting non-standard base-pairing at the 3rd anti-codon position. The record is from RNAcentral.
CCGCCCUUAGCUCAGUUGGUAGAGCAGUUGCCUCUUAAGCAAACGGUCGUAGGUUCGACUCCUACAGGGCGGA